Molecule: ribosomal RNA, 303 nt
Filed under: uncultured beta proteobacterium
Lineage: Bacteria; Pseudomonadati; Pseudomonadota; Betaproteobacteria
Description: bacterial SSU rRNA
Rfam family: Bacterial small subunit ribosomal RNA
Source: RNAcentral
CGAAAGCCUGAUCCAGCAAUGCCGCGUGAGUGAAGAAGGCCUUCGGGUUGUAAAGCUCUUUUGUCAGGGAAGAAACGGUGAAAGCUAAUAUCUUUUGCUAAUGACGGUACCUGAAGAAUGAGCACCGGCUAACUACGUGCCAGCAGCCGCGGUAAUACGUAGGGUGCAAGCAUUAAUCGGAAUUACUGGGCGUAAAGCGUGCGCAGGCGGUUUUGUAAGUCUGAUGUGAAAUCCCCGGGCUCAACCUGGGAAUUGCAUUGGAGACUGCAAGGCUAGAAUCUGGCAGAGGGGGGUAGAAUUCCA